This 899-nucleotide small RNA is filed under the name uncultured zygomycete. RNAcentral describes it as "eukaryotic LSU rRNA". The stretch from base 615 to 899 matches the Rfam family "Eukaryotic large subunit ribosomal RNA", at positions 1 to 281 of the family's 3401-position model. The record is from RNAcentral. Lineage: Eukaryota; Fungi.
CUUGGUCAUUUAGAGGAAGUAAAAGUCGUAACAAGGUUUCCGUAGGUGAACCUGCGGAAGGAUCAUUCAUAAUAAGUGUUUAUGGCACUUCUUAAAUCCAUAUCCACCUUGUGUGCAAUGUCAGCCGUUUUCUUUAUGAAGGCGGCCAAACAUCAACUUAUUUUUUAACUGUCUGUCUGAAAACUAUUAUGAAUAAACAAUUCAAAUACAACUUUCAACAACGGAUCUCUUGGCUCUCGCAUCGAUGAAGAACGCAGCGAAAUGCGAUACGUAAUGUGAAUUGCAGAAUUCAGUGAAUCAUCGAAUCUUUGAACGCAUAUUGCGCUCUUUGGUAUUCCGAAGAGCAUGCUUGUUUGAGUAUCAGUAAACACCUCAAAGCCUUCAAUUCAGUUUGAAAGCUUUGGACUUGAGCAAUCCCAACAUCAGUCUCGCGACUGACGGAGGGCUGCUUGAAAUGCAGGUGCAGCUGGACAUUCUUCUGAGCUAUAAGCAUAUUUAUUUAGUCCCGUCAGACGGAUUAUUACUUUUGCUGCAGCUAACAUAAAGGGAGUCUGACCGUAUUGGCUGACUGAUGCAGGAUUUCACAAGGGCUGGCAACAGCGUCUUGUAAAACUCGAUCUCAAAUCAAGUAAGACUACCCGCUGAACUUAAGCAUAUCAAUAAGCGGAGGAAAAGAAACUAACAAGGAUUCCCCUAGUAACGGCGAGUGAAGCGGGAUGAGCUCAAAUUUAAAAUCUGGCUGGUUUACUAGUCCGAAUUGUAGUUUAUAGAAGCGUUUUCGGUGGCAGCCUGGGUAUAAAUCCUUUGGAAUAGGGUAUCAUAGAGGGUGAGAAUCCCGUCUUUGACUCAGUGCAUGCUACUAUGUGAUACGUUUUCAAAGAGUCGAGUUGUUUGGGAAU